Molecule: long non-coding RNA, 829 nt
Organism: Drosophila suzukii
Lineage: Eukaryota; Metazoa; Arthropoda; Insecta; Diptera; Drosophilidae
Source: RefSeq, a predicted model, not a curated record
CAGUAAGAAAUCAUUUAGUUUAAGUGCCAAUUCUAUAAGAGCCAACAGCACCCCAGAAAAUUUAUGAACACGGCGAUUCAUUUUGAAUCCAACCAAAACGUAAAUGUAAUCAAACGUAAAGCCUAGUACUAUGAUCGGCUGAGUUUCACUAGUCGAAAAAUCUGGUUCUUUGUACUGUGACCGAAGUUUUCAAAGUCCACCAGCAAUGCAUGUAGCACGGAAGGAAAACCCCAAAAACCAAAAAUGCCUGCAGGAUGUCAGUGCAGAUGAAAAAGGACGUCUAAUCCCAGCUGUGGCCCAUUAUUGAGGGACUUCAACGGCAGAAAGCAAUACCACAACACGGAAAAUCCGCAGAAUAGUUGAAUUGCUGAAGGAGAUCCACUAAAGAAUUCCAGUGGGAAGGAACAUGCCUAGUGGGACUUUGCCCCCUACAUGGACAUCCUGCCGGACGGGUCCAAGCAAAUAAAAAUCUUCGACAAGGUUUCCAUUGGGGAAUCACAGUACUCCACCUCCACCAGUUACUUGACAAUUAAAGCGGAGCUGAAUUAUGUGCUGGCUUCUAUAGGGAGCAGAAAAAGAGGGCACCGCUAAGGGAUAGCUGGAGGAGCCAUUUCCAGCCCUUGCCAGGAUGCUAAGCGACAUCCUGCAUCAGCGUAACAACACCGUUCCCAAUCCGGCUCCCAAUUUCUCAAGGUUCAAUAUACCUAUUGGGAUUCGUAGCUGGACUGCAGAUGGUGCGGAAAAGAUGACGAAGCAUUCUUGGGGCGAGAAGGAAGCUUUCAACUACUAAUUUACAUAAAUAAAAUCAUUCGUUGAACAUUCCAUUUAA